GUGGGGAAUAUUGGGCAAUGGAGGAAACUCUGACCCAGCGACGCCGCGUGCGGGAUGAAGGCCUUCGGGUUGUAAACCGCUUUCAGUAGGGAAGAAGCGAAAGUGACGGUACCUACAAAAGAAGCACCGGCUAACUAUGUGCCAGCAGCCGCGGUAAUACAUAGGGUGCAAGCGUUGUCCGGAAUUAUUGGGCGUAAAGAGCUCGUAGGUCGUUUGUUACGUCGGAUGUGAAAACCUGAGGCUCAACCUCAGGCCUGCAUUCGAUACGGGCAAACUAGAGUUUGGUAGGGGAGACUGGAAUUCCUGGUGUAGCGGUGGAAUGCGCAGAUAUCAGGAGGAACACCAAUGGCGAAGGCAGGUCUCUGGGCCAAUACUGACACUGAGGAGCGAAAGUCUGGGGAGCGAACAGGAUUAGAUA
Molecule: ribosomal RNA, 418 nt
Filed under: actinobacterium SCGC AAA280-N08
Lineage: Bacteria; Bacillati; Actinomycetota; Actinomycetes
Description: bacterial SSU rRNA
Rfam family: Bacterial small subunit ribosomal RNA
Source: RNAcentral